RNAcentral lists this ribosomal RNA (641 nucleotides) under uncultured bacterium. RNAcentral describes it as "bacterial SSU rRNA". It matches the Rfam family "Bacterial small subunit ribosomal RNA", at positions 65 to 702 of the family's 1533-position model. The record is from RNAcentral.
AGCGGAUGAAGGAGCUUGCUCCUGGAUUCAGCGGCGGACGGGUGAGUAAUGCCUAGGAAUCUGCCUGGUAGUGGGGGACAACGUUUCGAAAGGAACGCUAAUACCGCAUACGUCCUACGGGAGAAAGCAGGGGACCUUCGGGCCUUGCGCUAUCAGAUGAGCCUAGGUCGGAUUAGCUAGUUGGUGAGGUAAUGGCUCACCAAGGCGACGAUCCGUAACUGGUCUGAGAGGAUGAUCAGUCACACUGGAACUGAGACACGGUCCAGACUCCUACGGGAGGCAGCAGUGGGGAAUAUUGGACAAUGGGCGAAAGCCUGAUCCAGCCAUGCCGCGUGUGUGAAGAAGGUCUUCGGAUUGUAAAGCACUUUAAGUUGGGAGGAAGGGUUGUAGAUUAAUACUCUGCAAUUUUGACGUUACCGACAGAAUAAGCACCGGCUAACUCUGUGCCAGCAGCCGCGGUAAUACAGAGGGUGCAAGCGUUAAUCGGAAUUACUGGGCGUAAAGCGCGCGUAGGUGGUUUGUUAAGUUGGAUGUGAAAUCCCCGGGCUCAACCUGGGAACUGCAUCCAAAACUGGCAAGCUAGAGUAUGGUAGAGGGUGGUGGAAUUUCCUGUGUAGCGGUGAAAUGCGUAGAUAUAGGAA